UACAGAGGUGGCAAGCGUUGUUCGGAAUUACUGGGCGUAAAGGGCGCGUAGGCGGCCUUCUAAGUCGGACGUGAAAGCCCCAGGCUUAACCUGGGAACUGCGUCCGAUACUGGGAGGCUUGGAUUCGGGAGAGGGAUGUGGAAUUCCAGGUGUAGCGGUGAAAUGCGUAGAUAUCGUAAGGAAGACCAGUGGCGAAGGCGGGUCUCUGGACAGUUCCUGACGCUGAGGCACGAAGGCCAGGGGAGCAAACGGG
RNAcentral lists this ribosomal RNA (253 nucleotides) under uncultured bacterium. RNAcentral's name for it is "partial 16S ribosomal RNA". It matches the Rfam family "Bacterial small subunit ribosomal RNA", at positions 524 to 776 of the family's 1533-position model. The record is from RNAcentral.